GGGGAUUUAGCUCAGCGGCAUAAGCGCCUGCCUUGCAAGCAGGCAGUCGUUAGUUCAAUCCCCA
This is a transfer RNA of Cavia porcellus (domestic guinea pig), 64 nucleotides long. It matches the Rfam family "tRNA". From Rfam's summary of the family: Transfer RNA (tRNA) molecules are approximately 80 nucleotides in length. Their secondary structure includes four short double-helical elements and three loops (D, anti-codon, and T loops). Lineage: Eukaryota; Metazoa; Chordata; Mammalia; Rodentia; Caviidae. The record is from Rfam.